Molecule: ribosomal RNA, 1034 nt
Filed under: Candidatus Phytoplasma fraxini
Lineage: Bacteria; Bacillati; Mycoplasmatota; Mollicutes; Acholeplasmatales; Acholeplasmataceae
Description: bacterial SSU rRNA
Rfam family: Bacterial small subunit ribosomal RNA
Source: RNAcentral
UUUGUUGGUGGGGUAAUGGCCUACCAAGACGAUGAUGUGUAGCUGGACUGAGAGGUCGAACAGCCACAUUGGGACUGAGACACGGCCCAAACUCCUACGGGAGGCAGCAGUAGGGAAUUUUCGGCAAUGGAGGAAACUCUGACCGAGCAACGCCGCGUGAACGAUGAAGUAUUUCGGUAUGUAAAGUUCUUUUAUUGAAGAAGAAAAAAUAGUGGAAAAACUAUCUUGACGUUAUUCAAUGAAUAAGCCCCGGCUAACUAUGUGCCAGCAGCCGCGGUAAGACAUAGGGGGCGAGCGUUAUCCGGAAUUAUUGGGCGUAAAGGGUGCGUAGGCGGUUAGGAAAGUCUAUAAUUUAAUUUCAGUGCUUAACGCUGUCUUGUUAUAGAAACUACCUUGACUAGAGUUAGAUAGAGGCAAGCGGAAUUCCAUGUGUAGCGGUAAAAUGUGUAAAUAUAUGGAGGAACACCAGAAGCGUAGGCGGCUUGCUGGGUCUUGACUGACGCUGAGGCACGAAAGCGUGGGUAGCAAACAGGAUUAGAUACCCUGGUAGUCCACGCCGUAAACGAUGAGUACUAAGUGUCGGGAUAAAACUCGGUACUGAAGUUAACACAUUAAGUACUCCGCCUGAGUAGUACGUACGCAAGUAUGAAACUUAAAGGAAUUGACGGGACUCCGCACAAGCGGUGGAUCAUGUUGUUUAAUUCGAAGAUACACGAAAAAUCUUACCAGGUCUUGACAUGCUCUGCAAAGCUAUAGAAAUAUAGUGGAGGUUAUCAGGGACACAGGUGGUGCAUGGUUGUCGUCAGUUCGUGUCGUGAGAUGUUAGGUUAAGUCCUAAAACGAGCGCAACCCUUGUCGUUAGUUACCAGCACGUAAUGGUGGGCACUUUAACGAGACUGCCAAUUAAACAUUGGAGGAAGGUGAGGAUUACGUCAAAUCAUCAUGCCCCUUAUGAUCUGGGCUACAAACGUGAUACAAUGGCUGUUACAAAGAGUAGCUGAAGCGCGAGUUUUUAGCCAAUCUCAAAAAAGCAG